RNAcentral lists this ribosomal RNA (465 nucleotides) under uncultured bacterium. Its description in RNAcentral is "partial 16S ribosomal RNA". It matches the Rfam family "Bacterial small subunit ribosomal RNA", at positions 28 to 507 of the family's 1533-position model. The record is from RNAcentral.
GACGAACGCUGGCGGCGUGCUUAACACAUGCAAGUCGUACGGUAAGGCCCUUUCGGGGGUACACGAGUGGCGAACGGGUGAGUAACACGUGAGUAACCUGCCCACAACUUUGGGAUAACGCUAGGAAACUGGUGCUAAUACUGGAUAUGUGCUCCUGCUGCAUGGUGGGGGUUGGAAAGCUCCGGCGGUUGUGGAUGGACUCGCGGCCUAUCAGCUUGUUGGUGGGGUAGUGGCCUACCAAGGCGGCGACGGGUAGCCGGCCUGAGAGGGUGACCGGCCACAUUGGGACUGAGAUACGGCCCAGACUCCUACGUGAGGCAGCAGUGGGGCAUAUUGCCCAAUGGGCGCAAGCCGGAUGCAGCAACUCCGCGGGCGGGAUGACGGCCUUCGGGUUGUAAACCGCUUUCAGCAGGGACGAAGCUUUUUGUGACGGUACCUGCAGAAGAAGCACCGGCUAACUACGUG